UACGGAGGAUCCAAGCGUUAUCCGGAAUUACUGGGCGUAAAGAGUUGCGUAGGUGGCAUGGUAAGUUGGUAGUGAAAGCGUUCGGCUCAACCGGAUACACAUUAUCAAAACUGCCAAGCUAGAGGACAAGAGAGGUCACUGGAAUUCCUAGUGUAGGAGUGAAAUCCGUAGAUAUUAGGAGGAACACCGAUGGCGUAGGCAGGUGACUGGCUUGUUCCUGACACUAAGGCACGAAAGCAUGGGUAGCAAACGGG
RNAcentral lists this ribosomal RNA (254 nucleotides) under uncultured bacterium. Its description in RNAcentral is "partial 16S ribosomal RNA". It matches the Rfam family "Bacterial small subunit ribosomal RNA", at positions 524 to 776 of the family's 1533-position model. The record is from RNAcentral.